GAUGAAGAACGUAGCGAAAUGCGAUAAGUAGUGUGAAUUGCAGAAUUCAGUGAAUCAUCGAAUCUUUGAACGCACAUUGCGCCUCCUGGUAUUCCGGGAGGCAUGCCUGUUCGAGCGUCAUUAAAAUCACUCAAGCUUAGGUUUACCUAUUGCUUGGUCUUGGAGAUGGAAGCCAAUUUAUUGGAAUCCUCUUCGAAAUUCAAUGGCGAAGACCCUUGCUCUCCCAAGUGUAGUAAUAACUUAUGUCACUGAAGGAAGCGAGAAAUCUUCUGCCGUAACCCCCAUAUUUUCUAUGAUUGACCUCGGAUCAGGUAGGGAUACCCGCUGAACUUAAGCAUAUCAUAAGCGGAGGA
Molecule: unclassified non-coding RNA, 353 nt
Filed under: soil metagenome
Description: partial contains 5.8S ribosomal RNA, internal transcribed spacer 2, and large subunit ribosomal RNA
Rfam family: 5.8S ribosomal RNA (bases 1-120)
Source: RNAcentral